This 90-nucleotide transfer RNA is filed under the name Cercophora samala. It matches the Rfam family "tRNA". From Rfam's summary of the family: Transfer RNA (tRNA) molecules are approximately 80 nucleotides in length. Their secondary structure includes four short double-helical elements and three loops (D, anti-codon, and T loops). Lineage: Eukaryota; Fungi; Ascomycota; Sordariomycetes; Sordariales; Lasiosphaeriaceae. The record is from Rfam by way of RNAcentral.
GCGGGUUUAGCUCAGUUGGGAGAGCGUCAGACUGAAGUUAACUUCGGGAAGUCAAUCUGAAGGUCGUGUGUUCGAUCCACACAAACCGCA